Molecule: non-coding RNA, 964 nt
Filed under: Attagis gayi (rufous-bellied seedsnipe)
Lineage: Eukaryota; Metazoa; Chordata; Aves; Ciconiiformes; Thinocoridae
Description: partial 12S ribosomal RNA
Rfam family: Bacterial small subunit ribosomal RNA
Source: RNAcentral
AAAGACUUAGUCCUAACCUUACCGUUAGUUCCUGCCAAACAUAUACAUGCAAGUAUCUGCACCCCAGUGUAAAUGCCCUCAGCCCCUUACCAAGGGAACAGGAGCGGAUAUCAGGCACACCUACAACCGUAGCCCAAAACAUCUUGCUCAGCCACACCCCCACGGGUACUCAGCAGUAAUUAACAUUAAGCAAUGAGCGUAAGCUUGACUUAGUUAUGGCAGACAAGGGUUGGUAAAUCUUGUGCCAGCCACCGCGGUCACACAAGAGACCCAAAUUAACAGUACGCGGCGUAAAGUGUGGUGAUACGCUAUCACUAAAACUAAGACCAAAAUGCAACUAAGCCGUCAUAAGCUCAAGAUGCCCCUAGGACCCCUAUUAAUAAAAUCUUAGCGCCCUGAUUAACUUUACCCACGAAAGCUAAGGCACAAACUGGGAUUAGAUACCCCACUAUGCUUAGCCCUAAAUCUCAGCGCUUUGCUUUCUACUAAAGCGCUCGCCCGAGAACUACGAGCAUAAACGCUUAAAACUCUAAGGACUUGGCGGUGUCCUAAACCCACCUAGAGGAGCCUGUUCUAUAAUCGAUAAUCCACGUUACACCCAACCUCUCCUAGCCACAUCAGCCUACAUACCGCCGUCGCCAGCUCACCUUCUCUGAGAGCCCAACAGUGAGCAUAAUAGCCAAACCCGCUAACAAGACAGGUCGAGGUAUAGCCCAUGGAGCGGAAGAAAUGGGCUACAUUUUCUAGCAUAGAACAAUUACGAAAAGGGACGUGAAAUCGCCCCAAAAGGCGGAUUUAGCAGUAAACUGGAACAAUAAAGUCCUCUUUAAGCUGGCCCUAGGACACGUACACACCGCCCGUCACCCUCCUCACAAGCUAUCUCACACUAUAAAUAAUACCCCCACCAGCUAAAGAUGAGGUAAGUCGUAACAAGGUAAGUGUACCGGAAGGUGCACUUAGCACA